UGUGGCUGGGGGUGAAAGGCCAAUCAAACCGGGAGAUAGCUGGUUCUCCCCGAAAGCUAUUUAGGUAGCGCCUCGUGAACUCAUCUUCGGGGGUAGAGCACUGUUUCGGCUAGGGGGUCAUCCCGACUUACCAACCCGAUGCAAACUACGAAUACCGAAGAAUGUUAUCACGGGAGACACACGGCGGGUGCUAACGUCCGUCGUGAAGAGGGAAACAACCCAGACCGCCAGCUAAGGUCCCAAAGUCAUGGUUAAGUGGGAAACGAUGUGGGAAGGCACAGACAGCCAGGAUGUUGGCUUAGAAGCAGCCAUCAUUUAAAGAAAGCGUAAUAGCUCACUGGUCGAGUCGGCCUGCGCGGAAGAUGUAACGGGGCUAAACCAUGCACCGAAGCUGCGGCAGCGACACUAUGUGUUGUUGGGUAGGGGAGCGUUCUGUAAGCCUGCGAAGGUGACCUGUGAGGGUUGCUGGAGGUAUCAGAAGUGCGAAUGCUGACAUAAGUAACGAUAAAGCGGGUGAAAAGCCCGCUCGCCGGAAGACCAAGGGUUCCUGUCCAACGUUAAUCGGGGCAGGGUGAGUCGACCCCUAAGGCGAGGCCGAAAGGCGUAGUCGAUGGGAAACAGGUUAAUAUUCCUGUACUUGGUGUUACUGCGAAGGGGGGACGGAGAAGGCUAUGUUAGCCGGGCGACGGUUGUCCCGGUUUAAGCAUGUAGGCUGGUUAUCCAGGCAAAUCCGGAUAAUCAAGGCUGAGGUGUGAUGACGAGGCACUACGGUGCUGAAGUAACAAAUGCCCUGCUUCCAGGAAAAGCCUCUAAGCAUCAGGUAACAUCAAAUCGUACCCCAAACCGACACAGGUGGUCAGGUAGAGAAUACCAAGGCGCUUGAGAGAACUCGGGUGAAGGAACUAGGCAAAAUGGUGCCGUAACUUCGGGAGAAGGCACGCUGGUGUGUAGGUGAAGUCCCUGCGGAUGGAGCUGAGACCAGUCGAAGAUACCAGCUGGCUGCAACUGUUUAUUAAAAACACAGCACUGUGCAAACACGAAAGUGGACGUAUACGGUGUGACGCCUGCCCGGUGCCGGAAGGUUAAUUGAUGGGGUUAUCCGUAAGGAGAAGCUCUUGAUCGAAGCCCCGGUAAACGGCGGCCGUAACUAUAACGGUCCUAAGGUAGCGAAAUUCCUUGUCGGGUAAGUUCCGACCUGCACGAAUGGCGUAAUGAUGGCCAGGCUGUCUCCACCCGAGACUCAGUGAAAUUGAACUCGCUGUGAAGAUGCAGUGUACCCGCGGCAAGACGGAAAGACCCCGUGAACCUUUACUAUAGCUUGACACUGAACAUUGAGCCUUGAUGUGUAGGAUAGGUGGGAGGCUUUGAAGCGUGGACGCCAGUCUGCGUGGAGCCAACCUUGAAAUACCACCCUUUAAUGUUUGAUGUUCUAACGUUGGCCCCUGACCGGGGUUGCGGACAGUGUCUGGUGGGUAGUUUGACUGGGGCGGUCUCCUCCCAAAGCGUAACGGAGGAGCACGAAGGUUAGCUAAUCCUGGUCGGACAUCAGGAGGUUAGUGCAAUGGCAUAAGCUAGCUUGACUGCGAGCGUGACGGCGCGAGCAGGUGCGAAAGCAGGUCAUAGUGAUCCGGUGGUUCUGAAUGGAAGGGCCAUCGCUCAACGGAUAAAAGGUACUCCGGGGAUAACAGGCUGAUACCGCCCAAGAGUUCAUAUCGACGGCGGUGUUUGGCACCUCGAUGUCGGCUCAUCACAUCCUGGGGCUGAAGUAGGUCCCAAGGGUAUGGCUGUUCGCCAUUUAAAGUGGUACGCGAGCUGGGUUUAGAACGUCGUGAGACAGUUCGGUCCCUAUCUGCCGUGGGCGCUGGAGAAUUGAGGGGGGCUGCUCCUAGUACGAGAGGACCGGAGUGGACGCAUCACUGGUGUUCGGGUUGUCAUGCCAAUGGCACUGCCCGGUAGCUAAAUGCGGAAGAGAUAAGUGCUGAAAGCAUCUAAGCACGAAACUUGCCCCGAGAUGAGUUCUCCCUGAGACUUUAAGUCUCCUGAAGGAACGUUGAAGACGACGACGUUGAUAGGCCGGGUGUGUAAGCGCAGCGAUGCGUUGAGCUAACCGGUACUAAUGAACCGUGAGGCUUAACCUU
RNAcentral lists this ribosomal RNA (2138 nucleotides) under human gut metagenome. Its description in RNAcentral is "bacterial LSU rRNA". It matches the Rfam family "Bacterial large subunit ribosomal RNA", at positions 810 to 2925 of the family's 2925-position model. The record is from RNAcentral.